Molecule: ribosomal RNA, 498 nt
Filed under: Alternaria alternata
Lineage: Eukaryota; Fungi; Ascomycota; Dothideomycetes; Pleosporales; Pleosporaceae
Description: eukaryotic LSU rRNA
Rfam family: 5.8S ribosomal RNA (bases 181-334)
Source: RNAcentral
GCGGAGGGAUCAUUACACANAUAUGAAGGCGGGCUGGAACCUCUCGGGGUUACAGCCUUGCUGAAUUAUUCACCCUUGUCUUUUGCGUACUUCUUGUUUCCUUGGUGGGUUCGCCCACCACUAGGACAAACAUAAACCUUUUGUAAUUGCAAUCAGCGUCAGUAACAAAUUAAUAAUUACAACUUUCAACAACGGAUCUCUUGGUUCUGGCAUCGAUGAAGAACGCAGCGAAAUGCGAUAAGUAGUGUGAAUUGCAGAAUUCAGUGAAUCAUCGAAUCUUUGAACGCACAUUGCGCCCUUUGGUAUUCCAAAGGGCAUGCCUGUUCGAGCGUCAUUUGUACCCUCAAGCUUUGCUUGGUGUUGGGCGUCUUGUCUCUAGCUUUGCUGGAGACUCGCCUUAAAGUAAUUGGCAGCCGGCCUACUGGUUUCGGAGCGCAGCACAAGUCGCACUCUCUAUCAGCAAAGGUCUAGCAUCCAUUAAGCCUUUUUUUCAACUUU